Anopheles stephensi (Asian malaria mosquito) is the source of this 1262-nucleotide long non-coding RNA. RefSeq lists it as uncharacterized. Lineage: Eukaryota; Metazoa; Arthropoda; Insecta; Diptera; Culicidae. The transcript has 3 exons. The record is from RefSeq and is a predicted model, not a curated record.
CUAUUUGCGUCUUCUUUCAGACCUUUUGCGUAUCGGGGGGGCCUUCACUUCAUCACCACCAACCAACCAACCAACCAACCAACCAACUCCUCCAGGUUCCCAGGCAGUGGAGGUAUCUAAGGACACUCUUGAUUUAGCAUUGCUUGCUUGGUUUGACUCAUAUCAACCCGUACCACAUCAAGCACUACACGAAGAGAGGCUUGCAGAGUGAAGAUUUCAUCCCGGUACUAUCGUGUGAAAAUUGGUGAUCGUUCACUUUUUUCGUCUAAACCGAUGAGAUAUGCUUCGUAGAGAUAACACCAUAUGUGAUUGGCUUUCGCAACAACGCCUCACCGCACACGGCCGUAACCACCCUAUCAACGGUUGGAUAAGAGCGUGUGAGAUAAAUAUGGAAAAUUCGUAGCACCGCGCCCCCUGGGGAAAACGUAAGACCCGCUACCCAUAGGUCGGGGUUAUCCCACCGGGGACAGACCGACGAAGGUCAGGAAUGCUUGUCCUGCAGGAAGUGGCACAAAAUUUCCUGGAACUGUUACGCUCGCCAUGAUCCUGCACACUCUUUACAACGAUUGACGACUCAGACACUGCGUCUCUUGGAGCGGUCUCGUCAGACGCGGAAGGAUAGAUGAAACGAUUUUUGCAUAUGUAAUGUAAUGCCUCUAUUGACACAGGAAGCGCCGGCUUUUCCCGGAUCGGGCCUUUUUUUUCUUUCUUUCCUUCUCGCAUCACUCGCCCACCACCUCCUCUACCUGCGAUCGACCGACAGCAGGAAGCACCACCGAGGACCGAGCGCGCUGGGUCAUUCCGGUGCGGAUUUCCACAUAAUUACCAUGCGCCAGGACCAAUGCAAAGGAGCACCGAAAGCAAACGGGCCCGAACAACUGAAACUUUCCCGCCACGGUUGCGCCGCCGUGAGAUCUGAUGCGUUCUGCUACGGGCAAAAGAUUGAGCCUGGAAUGCUGAUUGUUUGUGUAGUUUUUAUUGAUUUAUUGUUUAUUGACAUUUCACACCUUUUUCUCUUCUUUCGGGCUCUGUACCGUUUGCCCAUAUCUCUGGCGAGGUUCGGUCUUUCCGAUGGGAAUUUUAUAGAAAUAUUCCUCAGACAGGCAGGACACGGAGCAAUUGAAUAAUAAUUUCUUUAGUAUAAGAAGGAACGUUUGUUGAUUGUUGUUAAAAAGGAUGUUAUUUUAAAAUUUAUUUUUAACACGCAUUUGUGAUUUAAAUGUACUGGAAAUAAAGAUUAAAUGAACAUUUGAAAGAAAUAA